Molecule: non-coding RNA, 88 nt
Organism: Mycena leptocephala
Lineage: Eukaryota; Fungi; Basidiomycota; Agaricomycetes; Agaricales; Mycenaceae
Source: the annotation of a GenBank genome assembly
UCGGACGUGGUGUAGCGACACGGCCUCUUUCUAUAGUCGAUGAAAAACUUCCAAGAGGCAGAUCCGGGUUCGAUUCCCGGCGUCCGAG